ACCGCACCAUCAAUCUAAUUCAAGAAUGCCAUAAUUUGAUGUUAUCCAUUAAGAUAAGGCUGACAUUCUAGCCAGGAUAGAAUAGAUACAUGAUAUUUUAAGUGAUGCUCGUGUGUGGGCGUAUAAAGGAAAUGGUAUUGCAGGAGCAAAAUCUAGCAUACCUUGGUUGGCACUAGAAAUAGUAGCAUCCGCGUGAAGCGAAAAGCAAAGAGUUGAACUAAGAAGGAAAGGAAAGGAAUGCCAAGUCAAAGCUGCAAGAGAGAGAGAGAGAGAGAGAGAGAGAGCGAUUUAAUUAUAUAUAUAUUGAAAAGGAAGGCCAGUUUUCCAUUGGGCGAUGGAAGGAAGCUGCUGUUUGUGACUCUGUCUGUCUUCUCCAAUUUGCUUAUCAGAUUCUGAGUUUUGUUGAAGUGUCAUUCAACUAAUCAUCAACCGCAUAACAUACUAUAUUAUAUAUAUUAUAUGUUUAUUUACUUUAUUUAAUUUUUGAUUAGCUUUGUCACUGAGUCUUUGAUGAGUCACGGACCAAUAGAAAUAUCUAAAUUUGAUUGUCU
Molecule: long non-coding RNA, 551 nt
Organism: Prunus dulcis (almond)
Lineage: Eukaryota; Viridiplantae; Streptophyta; Magnoliopsida; Rosales; Rosaceae
Exons: 2
Source: RefSeq, a predicted model, not a curated record